RNAcentral lists this ribosomal RNA (253 nucleotides) under uncultured bacterium. RNAcentral's name for it is "partial 16S ribosomal RNA". It matches the Rfam family "Bacterial small subunit ribosomal RNA", at positions 524 to 776 of the family's 1533-position model. The record is from RNAcentral.
UACGUAGGGGGCAAGCGUUGUCCGGAUUUAUUGGGCGUAAAGCGCGUGUAGGCGGCCAGGUAGGUCCGUUGUGAAAACUCGAGGCUCAACCUCGAGACGUCGACGGAAACCCUCUGGCUAGAGUCCGGAAGAGGAGAGUGGAAUUCCUGGUGUAGCGGUGAAAUGCGCAGAUAUCAGGAAGAACACCCGUGGCGAAGGCGGCUCUCUGGGACGGUACUGACGCUGAGACGCGAAAGCGUGGGGAGCGAACAGG